UCGUAAUGCGCGCAGCCUGAUGCAGCCAUGCCGCGUGAGUGAUGAAGGCCUUAGGGUCGUAAAGCUCUUUCACCAGGGAUGAUACUGACGUGACCUGACCUGCAAACCCCGGCUAACUCCGUGCCAUGACCCGCGGUAAUACAAUACAGG
Molecule: ribosomal RNA, 150 nt
Filed under: uncultured bacterium
Lineage: Bacteria
Description: partial 16S ribosomal RNA
Rfam family: Bacterial small subunit ribosomal RNA
Source: RNAcentral